This 253-nucleotide ribosomal RNA is filed under the name uncultured bacterium. RNAcentral's name for it is "partial 16S ribosomal RNA". It matches the Rfam family "Bacterial small subunit ribosomal RNA", at positions 524 to 776 of the family's 1533-position model. RNAcentral also lists the same sequence under 1 other name. The record is from RNAcentral.
UACGAACUGUGCAAACGUUAUUCGGAAUCACUGGGCUUAAAGGGUGCGUAGGCGGCUCAUUAAGUAGGGUGUGAAAGCCCCCGGCUCAACCGGGGAAUUGCGCUCUAAACUGAUGGGCUGGAGUGAGAUAGGGGUGUGUGGAACUUCCGGUGGAGCGGUGAAAUGUGUUGAUAUCGGAAGGAACGCCGGUGGCGAAAGCGACACACUGGGUCUCAACUGACGCUGAGGCACGAAAGCCAGGGGAGCAAACGGG